RNAcentral lists this ribosomal RNA (409 nucleotides) under Actinomycetes bacterium. RNAcentral describes it as "Actinobacteria bacterium partial 16S ribosomal RNA". It matches the Rfam family "Bacterial small subunit ribosomal RNA", at positions 355 to 776 of the family's 1533-position model. Lineage: Bacteria; Bacillati; Actinomycetota; Actinomycetes. The record is from RNAcentral.
UGGGGAAUAUUGCACAAUGGGCGGAAGCCUGAUGCAGCGACGCCGCGUGGGGGAUGAAGGUCUUCGGGUUGUAAACUCCUUUCGACAGGGACGAAGCUUUUGUGACGGUACCUGUAUAAGAAGCACCGGCUAACUACGUGCCAGCAGCCGCGGUAAUACGUAGGGUGCGAGCGUUGUCCGGAAUUACUGGGCGUAAAGAGCUCGUAGGUGGUUUGUCGCGUCGUCUGUGAAAUUCCGGGGCUUAACUCCGGGCGUGCAGGCGAUACGGGCUGACUUGAGUGCUGUAGGGGAGACUGGAAUUCCUGGUGUAGCGGUGAAAUGCGCAGAUAUCAGGAGGAACACCGAUGGCGAAGGCAGGUCUCUGGGCAGUAACUGACGCUGAGGAGCGAAAGCAUGGGUAGCGAACAGG